Molecule: long non-coding RNA, 1241 nt
Organism: Aedes aegypti (yellow fever mosquito)
Lineage: Eukaryota; Metazoa; Arthropoda; Insecta; Diptera; Culicidae
Exons: 2
Source: RefSeq, a predicted model, not a curated record
UAUAAUAGACCAUUUCCGUCAUACCUAACACCCCUGUUUUGUAUUUUUCCUCGAAAGAUAAUAAUUUUACGCUAACAUUUUUGUUGGUAUUUUUUCUUUUUAUGUAUUGUUGAAUUUUUGAUGAAUUUUCAAAUAUUGGCAAUUUCACCACUUUUGGAGACAUGCGGAACAAAAAUAGUAACCCUAAGCGUGGUGAAUAUAUUUUUCACCACUCCAGGAGAAUGUCAAAAACCUCAAAAACUGAUAACCCUAUGCUCAGCUGUUAUUUACGUUUUGAAACGUCAAAAAUGCGAAAUGAAAUUUCGGAUCAUAACAAACGGUUUUGGUGGUUUCGUUGGGGCAACUUCUUCUCAUCCCAGCCAUCGGGAUGUGGUUCUUCAAACAUAGCACCUCGGAAGGGAAUCGUCACCGAUAUCAGUCUUCUGAAGAUUACUGCUUCCGCUUCGUCACACUUUGAUUAAACGCUAGACGAAAAUCUCCUCGAUCAAGGAAAUGAAAUGUCCCAGGAGAUCAACAACGCGCUGAACAUCGCCAUGUAAAUGGACUGGUCUACGUUAGUCUUCGGCGAGGAUGUCGCGUUCCGCUGUUCGAUGGAACUGUAGCAACAGUAGACGAACAAAGCGUUUCAGCACACCGCUGUAUGAGCAUGGCAUUAUUGGGUUUGUGACCAGGCAACACCGGAGUGUUUUCCACAACUAAGAUGCAAUUUCUCGGCGUACGAUCAGAUUACACGCCCAAGUUGAAAGUGGUGAAGCCACUAGGACCGAACAGAUCCAACGGACUCCUGCUAGCGGUCAUAAAGGAGAAGGAUGCUUUCAUCGUUUUCAAACUGGAAACACUUUAUCAAGCGCCUGAGAUGUCGCUUGAAUGCCUACUUCGAAAACCAAGAUGUUCUGGUAAUUGGCAACUCAAGGGGUGUGAAUCGUAGAUACAUGUACUAGAGGAUGUGGUCCAUAUGGCGAAAAAAACAGUGUUCGAAUCGUUCUACAUUCCGCAGAAGUUCUGAUGCCUGGCCGGGAUCGAAAAGCUGAUCGAUUAUCGAGAAGGAAUUUGAUGACGAUUACAUUUUGUCUUUCAGUUUUAUUCGCGUAAGCUUUACCCCUGAAUCAGUUUGGAGAACGUCACAAUAACUAGGGUUGGUGCACCAAUAGCCAAUCAGCUAAAAACAAAUACAAUCCAAUCUUUAUGAGUCGAUAUUGACCAAUGAGAAUAUAUACUAUAUAUUCUCAUUGGAUAUUGAC